Molecule: transfer RNA, 110 nt
Filed under: Xylaria bambusicola
Lineage: Eukaryota; Fungi; Ascomycota; Sordariomycetes; Xylariales; Xylariaceae
Description: tRNA-Leu
Rfam family: tRNA
About the family: Transfer RNA (tRNA) molecules are approximately 80 nucleotides in length. Their secondary structure includes four short double-helical elements and three loops (D, anti-codon, and T loops). Further hydrogen bonds mediate the characteristic L-shaped molecular structure. tRNAs have two regions of fundamental functional importance: the anti-codon, which is responsible for specific mRNA codon recognition, and the 3' end, to which the tRNAs corresponding amino acid is attached (by aminoacyl-tRNA synthetases). tRNAs cope with the degeneracy of the genetic code in two manners: having more than one tRNA (with a specific anti-codon) for a particular amino acid; and 'wobble' base-pairing, i.e. permitting non-standard base-pairing at the 3rd anti-codon position.
Source: RNAcentral
GGUGAGAUGACCGAGUGGUUAAGGUGGUAGACUCAAGCUUGUCUUGCGCUGCACAGCAGUGUCGUAUUCUACUGGAGCAAUCCGCAGGGGUUCGAAUCCCCUUCUCAUCA